This 240-nucleotide unclassified non-coding RNA is filed under the name soil metagenome. Its description in RNAcentral is "partial contains 5.8S ribosomal RNA, internal transcribed spacer 2, and large subunit ribosomal RNA". The record is from RNAcentral.
AACGCACGAGACCUGCGGACCUGCGGAAGGAUCAUUAAAAAAGAUCGAACCAAAAAACAUAUGGACGAUCAAAAUCCAUAUCCACCUUGUGUGCACUCAUUGACCGUUCGCUUUGGCAGGAGUUUGGUCUUUUUGAUCCCGGUUCUGGGAUCUCGAAGCGCCGCGAAGGGGGUGUUUGGGAGGACCCCUCCCACACCCUCGGCCUGCCAGAGUUUUUUUUCAAGAUCCACACUUUUUUAA